This 2906-nucleotide long non-coding RNA is filed under the name Brassica napus (rape). Its description in RNAcentral is "long non-coding RNA (BNAP_LNC019015)". The record is from RNAcentral. Lineage: Eukaryota; Viridiplantae; Streptophyta; Magnoliopsida; Brassicales; Brassicaceae.
UCUGUUCUUCUCCAAAAUAAAUCACUGCCAACAGAGAACUAACAAGAAACUGAUGUAAUAUCAAAAAAAAAACCUCAAUCUCAUAAGCUACUCUAAAUCUCUUGAAUAAGCAUAUUCGUGGCGUCCAAGAAAACAAAACAAAACAAAAAGAUAAUAAAGCCAACAGAAUAACACAAAAGGCAUUACCAGCAGUCUCUGAAUGAUGCCAUCACGGUAGACCAUGAGGUGCGACAAAUAGCUUCGUGCAUAGUAAUUUGUGAAGUAUUCUCUCACAGUUUCGUUGUAAGAUUGGUCAGGAGACUGAGGAACAGCACGCAUAAGUACUGUAAAAUGACUUGGCUUUGAGGAAGAUGCAGCGAUAUAUGCCAGCCUCUUUUUGGCUAUGGUCUUAUACUCCUAAAACACGUAUUAUAACAGAAGUGAGAGAGAGAGAGAGAACAAAACGAUAUGAUGUACAUGAACCAGGGAAUGGGAUCCUUACAAAGUAAAGAAGAGCACAUGCCGCAGAGGAUAUGAUGUACAGUGAUAGACAAUGUACCCAAAGCCUGGAAAUAAAUAAGAAAAGAUUAAACUAGAAUCAGCACUUUGCUUUCUUUUGUAAAGCACUUUACUUGCCCUGAGAUUUAAGGGGCUAUAGACGGCUAAAAUUUAUUUCUAUGUAAUUUUUUCCAAAAACUUUGUGGGAUUUAAAGCCAAUGUUUCGUCAGGCUUUUGCGCAUGACGGGCUCUGAUAAUAUAUGACAAUACUAGUGGAGUUAAGGCAGCAUUACCAUCUUGAGCGUGGAUUAAGGUUUUCAAUAGUGAAUAUUGACAACGGCUCGAGAUGAGCUUCCUUGUGCUCCAUCAUCGGUCCGUAAUAGUUCACAGGCAGAACAAAUGAAAUGCAAACAACCGCAACGACUGAGAAGAUACGAAUGCUGCAAAUGACCAUCCUGAUGAAGACCACAGCGUCGAGACCAGCAGCAGCCAACAUCUCGUCCUCGGUAGUUUCCCAAGCCUUGACGAGCCAACUCGGAGAGGGAGCAAACCUCUCGUACCAACGAGGAUCGUUGCGUUUAACUCUUCCACCGGAAAGCAUCCGGCCAAAGUAGACGCAAUAGUUGGAGGGCUGUUUCCUUAGGAUGGAGUAAAGCGAGACGAGGACUACGCAUAUCCCGACGUUAAUCCCAGCAGAGGUUAAGAGCGCUGAAACAUCCAUCUCUCACUUUGUUGUUCAGACUCUUGUCUUAAACUAAAUAAUGAAGGCAGAGAAGAACAUAAUCAGCUGCUCAGUAACAGCUUUUAAAGUCGUCUAAAAGAUCUGUAAAGAAAAGGGAAAAAAGUUUGCAAGAAUAAGAAAAAAAGACUUUCCAAAUCCUAAGAAGUGGUAACGUUUGAACAUUGAGAUCUGGCAAGUAUUAGUUGGCAUUAAAUGAAUCUAAGCUAUGAUUUAAAGGCUGAUCACAAGUAACCAAUGACAAAGGAUGAAACAAAAUAGCAUAAGAGUUCUAAAACGAAAUCAAAAUAUCUAAUUUAACUUCUUAAACCAAUCGUCCUCUAUAACUAUUAACUAACCACCACAAUUUCAUAUAACCAGAAAAAACAGGGGAAUCCAAUUACGUUAUAUGAUUCCACAACAAUCGAAACAAGAACGUGCACGGAACCAAAGCCCAGAUUUUUAUGAGAGAUUCGAUCACAAUUCGCAGAGGUUAAUCGAAAUUGAGAAUCUACCCAGAAGAAGGAACGAAAACGAUAAUUCGAGCAAACGAUGGCUUACACGGAAGAAGAAGAUGAACACUUUUUGCUUUGACUUGAGAGAAUCAGAAACCUUAAUAAUUAUUCGCAAGAUUCACGAUGUGCACCUUAUACCCCAUUUCCGCGGAGAAUUCGCGUUCAAGUUCAUAUGCCAUUAUAAUCUACCAAAAAAAAAAAUAAUAAUAAAAGAAUUCAAAUAUUUAAAACUUUUCCCCUUUUUUGUUUAGAAAGAAUAAUAAAAAAACUUAUUAAACAAAAAAAAAGUCAGAUAAUUAUUAGGUGAGGAUUUGUCAUUUACGGAAAAAAAAAAUCAUAAACCCAACCAAAAAAGUCAGAUAAACUUUCAUACAUGCUAAUAAAAUCUACAAUAUUCAAAUAACAACUUCCUUUUUUACAAUUAAAAAAAACAACUUUUCCUUUUCUUUGUCACAAAAAAAAACUUAUUAAACAAAAAGAAAGAUAAUUAUUAGGUGAGCAAUGAGCAUUAUCAUUUACGGAAGAAAAAAAAUCAUAAAGCCAACAAAAAAAAACGAUAAAUAAUAUUAGGCGACAAAUCCCACGUUGUGUGUGGUGUAAAUGUGGAAGGUGCCAGAUCAAAUGACGUGGCAUGACCUCAAUGGUGGAGACUGUCUCUACGUCGCCAAAGUCUUACUUAACCGGUGAUUGCGACUACCAUGUCGGCUACUUUAUAACCCUUCGAUGGUCUCGACCCGAUACGAUUAUGACACGUGACAUUCUACAGCGACAGUUAAAAACCGUUUUUUUUUUGCCCGGGAAAGUAUUUAUAGAAGUAGGGUCGCAUAUCUAACUAAUCCUUGUUUACUGCCAACAGAGAACUAACAAGAAACUGAUGUAAUAUCAAAAAAAAAACCUCAAUCUCAUAAGCUACUCUAAAUCUCUUGAAUAAGCAUAUUCGUGGCGUCCAAGAAAACAAAACAAAACAAAAAGAUAAUAAAGCCAACAGAAUAACACAAAAGGCAUUACCAGCAGUCUCUGAAUGAUGCCAUCACGGUAGACCAUGAGGUGCGACAAAUAGCUUCGUGCAUAGUAAUUUGUGAAGUAUUCUCUCACAGUUUCGUUGUAAGAUUGGUCAGGAGACUGAGGAACAGCACGCAUAAGUACUGUAAAAUGACUUGGCUUUGAGGAAGAUGCAGCGAUAUAUGCCAGCCUCU